This is a long non-coding RNA of Pongo pygmaeus (Bornean orangutan), 260 nucleotides long. RefSeq lists it as uncharacterized. Lineage: Eukaryota; Metazoa; Chordata; Mammalia; Primates; Hominidae. The transcript is spliced from 3 exons. The record is from RefSeq and is a predicted model, not a curated record.
UAAAGAUCCCAUUAUCUGACUGUCACCACCAGCAAACAGCUGGAGUACAAUGGCACGAUCUUGGCUCACUGCGACCUCCACCUCCCAGGUUCAAGUGGUUCUCCUGCCUCAGCCUCCCUAGUAGCUGGGAUUACAGGUGCCUGCCACCACGCUCAGUAGAGACGGGGUUUCAUCAUGUUAGCCAGGAUGGUCUUGAUCUCCUGACCUCGUGAUCCGCCUGCCUCCCAAAGUGCUGGGAUUAUAGGCGUGAGCCACCACGC